GCGAGUGAGCGGCAAAAGCUCAAAUUUGAAAUCUGGCACCUUCGGUGUCCGAGUUGUAAUUUGAAGAAGGUAACUUUGGAGUUGGCUCUUGUCUAUGUUCCUUGGAACAGGACGUCACAGAGGGUGAGAAUCCCGUGCGAUGAGAUGCCCAAUUCUAUGUAAAGUGCUUUCGAAGAGUCGAGUUGUUUGGGAAUGCAGCUCUAAGUGGGUGGUAAAUUCCAUCUAAAGCUAAAUAUUGGCGAGAGACCGAUAGCGAACAAGUACAGUGAUGGAAAGAUGAAAAGAACUUUGAAAAGAGAGUGAAAAAGUACGUGAAAUUGUUGAAAGGGAAGGGCUUGAGAUCAGACUUGGUAUUUUGCGAUCCUUUCCUUCUUGGUUGGGUUCCUCGCAGCUUACUGGGCCAGCAUCGGUUUGGAUGGUAGGAUAAUGACUAAGGAAUGUGGCUCUACUUCGGUGGAGUGUUAUAGCCUUGGUUGAUACUGCCUGUCUAGACCGAGGACUGCGUCUUUUGACUAGGAUGUUGGCAUAAUGAUCUUAAGCCACCCGU
This 547-nucleotide ribosomal RNA is filed under the name Debaryomyces hansenii. RNAcentral's name for it is "eukaryotic LSU rRNA". It matches the Rfam family "Eukaryotic large subunit ribosomal RNA", at positions 89 to 652 of the family's 3401-position model. The record is from RNAcentral. Lineage: Eukaryota; Fungi; Ascomycota; Pichiomycetes; Serinales; Debaryomycetaceae.